GUUCUGGGGUCGCCCCCACGGCGGCGCGGCGGAGCUCAGCCUCGAUCUCGCGAAACCGAGCGAGACUACGGAAGGCCGAAGGAUUGGGCUCAGCAUUGCUUGGGCUAAAGGCUGACUAGGGCUUCCAGGAAGUGAUGUAUGUGAGAAGUUUGCUUUUUAAAGUGUACGUGGGAUCGUUAUUACGUCGAAAUAGCUCGAGCUGUAACCUAGGGCUUGAGUGCAGUGGCACGAUCUUGGCUCACUGCAACCUCCACCUCCCGAGUUCAAGCGAUUCUCCUGCCUCACCCUCCUGAGUAGCUGGGACUACAGGCCUGCGCCACCACACCUGGCUAACUUCUGAAUAUCAAGCUGAAAUUACUAUCAGAUAUCUUGCCACCACAUAGAGGCUUUGAGUGAAGUCUGCAUGGAGGAGAACAGAGCUGAGAGAUGGAAAGAUACUGAAUCCCAGUGACGUCCUUUGAGAUGUCGGAUCAAGCUGAGCUGGGCAUGAAGAUAGAGCUACUCCUAUACUUUUAAGAUACGACAUCAAAACUUCACGAUUCCCACUCUUGCAUCAUUUACCACCUAACUGCUGGAAGUAUCAGCCUACUCAUCGUUAUUGGCAUCACCUGGAAGCUAGCUAGAACUGGAGACUCUUAUGUCUUACCCCAGACCUACUCAAUCAGAAAUCUUCUUUUUAACAAGGUCUCCAGGUGCUUUGCACAUUAAAGCUUGCACACCCAAGGCCAUGUGCAACUUAUAUUCAUCUUGCUGUUGCAGGCUUAGCUUCUGACAGGUAAAGCUGAACUGGUGUCACCCAUUCCAUGUUCCUGCCUCUGUGUCUUUGAGCCUUCCUGCCUCCCAGAAUGUACUCUCCCUGAUAUAGUUUGCCUCUGUGUCUCCACCCAAGUCUCCACUCAAAUUGUAGUCCUCAUGAGUGGAGGGAGGGACCUAAUGGGAGGUGAUUGGAUUAUGAAGGCACUUUCCCCCAUGCUGUUCUCGUGGUAGUGAGAGUUUUCACGAGAUCUCAUGGUUUUAAAAGUGGCUGUUUCCCCUGCAUGCUCGCUCUCUCUCCUACCACCGGACAAAGUGCCUGCUUCCCAUUUCACCUUCCACCAUGAUUCUAAGUCUCCUGAGGCCUCCCCAGCCAUGCAGAACUGUGAGUCAAUUGAAUCUGUUUUGUUUAUAAAUUACCCAGUCUCGGGUAGUAUCUUCGUAGCAGUGUGAAAAUGGACUAAUACACUCUCCUCAAUUUCUCUCCCUAACCAAAGCCAGCACAUUCCCAAAUAACUUAUUUACUCAAUUGCCACUUUAUUAUUCUUUUGUAUUCUGAUCAAUUGGAAUUAAUAAUUUUUUUCUUUUGGACUCCCACAGUCCUUAGCAUAUAUUUCUAUGAAGCCUCUGAUUGCUUCACGUUGGGAGAAGGAUCCUGUCCUUCUCAUAGCUCUUGUUUUCACAGCCCAAGUUCUGGAAAAGUGCCUUCUUUGACAUUGCAGAUGUUCAGUAAAUGUUCAUUGUCUAAAUAAAUAAAUGGUUU
Molecule: long non-coding RNA, 1516 nt
Organism: Homo sapiens (human)
Lineage: Eukaryota; Metazoa; Chordata; Mammalia; Primates; Hominidae
Gene: TTC14-DT
Product: TTC14 divergent transcript
Exons: 3
Source: RefSeq, marked validated